AUGGGUCUAGCCAAGGUUUUAUGUGUUCUUAAUCUACUCUUUCAUCAAUCUCCAUGGAUCCUAUUGUUAUUAGUUUUCCAGUGCUCAAAUUUACCUGCUCUGUAUGAUAACCCAAGUGUGUCGUUGCCUACACAAACUAAUGAGCAAGAAUUAGUCUACCAUUCAUGUUUUUUCAUCUUUACGUAUUAUUUUGUUGUAAUACAGAAAGAUGGACAUCUGACACUGCUUGUAGAUGUAGUGAAGGUACUCCUGGACCAUGAUCCAUCCCUUGGGAAAACGUUUGCCCAAUCAAAAUGUGACUCCUCUGAUUUGCGGCAAUUAGAGGCCACCUCAAGGUAG
This 339-nucleotide ribosomal RNA is filed under the name Triticum aestivum (bread wheat). RNAcentral describes it as "partial small subunit ribosomal RNA". The record is from RNAcentral. Lineage: Eukaryota; Viridiplantae; Streptophyta; Magnoliopsida; Poales; Poaceae.